CCCGUUCCCAUACCGAACACGGAAGUUAAGCUCUUCAGCGCCGAUGGUAGUUGAGGGUCUCCCCUUGUGAGAGUAGGACGUUGCCACCU
This 89-nucleotide ribosomal RNA is filed under the name Bacillus cereus. The record is from RNAcentral. Lineage: Bacteria; Bacillati; Bacillota; Bacilli; Caryophanales; Bacillaceae.